This 253-nucleotide ribosomal RNA is filed under the name uncultured bacterium. RNAcentral's name for it is "partial 16S ribosomal RNA". It matches the Rfam family "Bacterial small subunit ribosomal RNA", at positions 524 to 776 of the family's 1533-position model. The record is from RNAcentral.
UACGUAGGGGGCAAGCGUUAUCCGGAUUUACUGGGUGUAAAGGGGGCGCAGACGGCGAUGCAAGCCAGGAGUGAAAGCCCGGGGCCCAACCCCGGGACUGCUCUUGGAACUGCGUGGCUGGAGUGCAGGAGGGGCAGGCGGAAUUCCUGGUGUAGCGGUGAAAUGCGUAGAUAUCAGGAGGAACACCGGUGGCGAAGGCGGCCUGCUGGACUGUAACUGACGUUGAGGCUCGAAAGCGUGGGUAGCAAACAGG